Eriocheir sinensis (Chinese mitten crab) is the source of this 452-nucleotide long non-coding RNA. RefSeq lists it as uncharacterized. The record is from RefSeq and is a predicted model, not a curated record. Lineage: Eukaryota; Metazoa; Arthropoda; Malacostraca; Decapoda; Varunidae. The transcript has 3 exons.
AAGAAGGGUCAAACUACCUCCAGGGUCAUAAAACUACCCCUGGAAAUGCCCACAACUCCUACGAAAGCCUUGUCAAAUAGGUGUUUCUAGGUUCACGGUACAGAAGAAGACUCACACUACCACCAGGGUCAUAAAACUACCCCUGGAAAUGCCCACAACUCCUACGAAAGCCUUGUCAAAUAUGUGUUUCUAGGUUCACGGUACAGAAGAAGGGUCAAACUACCACCAGGGUCAUAAAACUACCCCUGGAAAUGCCCACAACUCCUACGAAAGCCUUGUCAAAUAUGUGUUUCUAGGUUCACGGUACAGAAGAAGGGUCACACUACCACCAGGGUCAUAAAACUACCCUUGGAAAUGCCCACAACUCCUACGAAAGCCUUGUCAAAUAUGUGUUUCUAGGUUCACGGUACAGAAGAAGGGUCAAACUACCACCAGGGUCAUAAAACUACCCC